UACGGGGGGGGCAAGCGUUGUUCGGAAUUACUGGGCGUAAAGGGCUUGUAGGUGGCCAACUAAGUCAGACGUGAAAUCCCUCAGCUUAACUGGGGAACUGCGUCUGAUACUGGAUGGCUUGAGUUUGGGAGAGGGAUGCGGAAUUCCAGGUGUAGCGGUGAAAUGCGUAGAUAUCUGGAGGAACACCGGUGGCGAAGGCGGCAUCCUGGACCAACACUGACACUGAGGAGCGAAAGCCAGGGGAGCAAACGGG
Molecule: ribosomal RNA, 253 nt
Filed under: uncultured bacterium
Lineage: Bacteria
Description: partial 16S ribosomal RNA
Rfam family: Bacterial small subunit ribosomal RNA
Source: RNAcentral